RNAcentral lists this ribosomal RNA (624 nucleotides) under uncultured bacterium. RNAcentral's name for it is "bacterial SSU rRNA". It matches the Rfam family "Bacterial small subunit ribosomal RNA", at positions 67 to 665 of the family's 1533-position model. The record is from RNAcentral.
UGGUUUGACACCUUUUUCACCAUGAUAGUUAUAGGAAAGAUAGCUAUUAAGGUGAAAAAGGUGUCAGAUAGUGGCGGACGGGUGAGUAACGCGUGGGUAACCAACCGUAUAGAGGGGGAUAACGGCUAGAAAUAGCCGCUAAUACCGCAUGGUCUUGUAAGACGGCAUCGUCUAACAAGUAAAGAUUUAUUGCUAUACGACGGACCCGCGUCUGAUUAGCUAGUUGGUGGGGUAAAGGCCUACCAAGGCGACGAUCAGUAGCCGACCUGAGAGGGUGAUCGGCCACAUUGGGACUGAGACACGGCCCAAACUCCUACGGGAGGCAGCAGUGGGGAAUAUUGCACAAUGGGGGAAACCCUGAUGCAGCAACGCCGCGUGAAGGAAGAAGUAUUUCGGUACGUAAACUUCAGACGCCGAUGAAGAAAAAAAUGACGGUAAUCGGGCCGGAGCCCCGGCUAACUACGUGCCAGCAGCCGCGGUAAUACGUAGGGGGCAAGCGUUAUCCGGAAUCACUGGGCGUAAAGGGUGAGUAGGCGGCUUCAUAAGUCAUAUGUGAAAGCCUGGUGCUUAACAUCAGGAUUGCAUAAGAAACUAUGAGGCUAGAGUAUGGGAGAGGUAAGCGGA